RNAcentral lists this ribosomal RNA (484 nucleotides) under uncultured bacterium. RNAcentral describes it as "partial 16S ribosomal RNA". It matches the Rfam family "Bacterial small subunit ribosomal RNA", at positions 30 to 507 of the family's 1533-position model. The record is from RNAcentral.
AUUGAACGCUGGCGGCAGGCCUAACACAUGCAAGUCGAGCGGAUGAAGGGAGCUUGCUCCUGGAUUCAGCGGCGGACGGGUGAGUAAUGCCUAGGAAUCUGCCUGGUAGUGGGGGAUAACGUCCGGAAACGGGCGCUAAUACCGCAUACGUCCUGAGGGAGAAAGUGGGGGAUCUUCGGACCUCACGCUAUCAGAUGAGCCUAGGUUGGAUUAGCUAGUUGGUGGGGUAAAGGCCUACCAAGGCGACGAUCCGUAACUGGUCUGAGAGGAUGAUCAGUCACACUGGAACUGAGACACGGUCCAGACUCCUACGGGAGGCAGCAGUGGGGAAUAUUGGACAAUGGGCGAAAGCCUGAUCCAGCCAUGCCGCGUGUGUGAAGAAGGUCUUCGGAUUGUAAAGCACUUUAAGUUGGGAGGAAGGGCAGUAAGUUAAUACCUUGCUGUUUUGACGUUACCAACAGAAUAAGCACCGGCCAACUUCGUG